UAUAGCUCAGUGGUAGAGCUCUUACCUACUACUUAUGAGACCUGGGCUCAAUACCCAGUA
This 60-nucleotide transfer RNA is filed under the name Heterocephalus glaber (naked mole-rat). It matches the Rfam family "tRNA", at positions 6 to 65 of the family's 71-position model. Rfam says of the family: Transfer RNA (tRNA) molecules are approximately 80 nucleotides in length. The record is from Rfam by way of RNAcentral. Lineage: Eukaryota; Metazoa; Chordata; Mammalia; Rodentia; Bathyergidae.